This 339-nucleotide unclassified non-coding RNA is filed under the name soil metagenome. Its description in RNAcentral is "partial contains 5.8S ribosomal RNA, internal transcribed spacer 2, and large subunit ribosomal RNA". The stretch from base 1 to 120 matches the Rfam family "5.8S ribosomal RNA", at positions 35 to 154 of the family's 154-position model. The record is from RNAcentral.
GAUGAAGAACGCAGCGAAAUGCGAUAAGUAAUGUGAAUUGCAGAAUUCAGUGAAUCAUCGAAUCUUUGAACGCACAUUGCGCCCGUCAGUAUUCUGGCGGGCAUGCCUGUUCGAGCGUCAUUACGCCCCUCAAGUCCCCUGUGGACUUGGUGUUGGGGAUCGGCUACCCUGCCGUCCCCCAAAUACAGUGGCGGUCUCGCUGCAGCCUCCCCUGCGUAGUAGCAACACUCGCAUGCGGAGCGCGGCGCGGCCACGCCGUAAAACCCCCGACUUUCUGAACGUUGACCUCGGAUCAGGUAGGAAUACCCGCUGAACUUAAGCAUAUCAAUAAGCGGAGGA